This 69-nucleotide transfer RNA is filed under the name Phrynoglossus myanhessei. Its description in RNAcentral is "tRNA-Trp". The record is from RNAcentral. Lineage: Eukaryota; Metazoa; Chordata; Amphibia; Anura; Dicroglossidae.
AGAAACUUAGGUUAAUCAGACCAAGGGCCUUCAAAGCCCUAAGUGGAAGUGGGAGACUUCUAGUUUCUG